GCUGGGCAUGGUGGUGUGUGCCUGUAAUCUCAGCUACUUGGGAGGCUGAGGCAGGAGAAUUGCUUGAACCCAGGAAGCAGAGGCUGUAGUGAGCCGAGAUCGUGCCACUGCACUCCAGCCUGGGUGACAGAGCAAGACUCUGUCUCAA
Macaca fascicularis (crab-eating macaque) is the source of this 148-nucleotide unclassified non-coding RNA. It matches the Rfam family "Metazoan signal recognition particle RNA". Rfam says of the family: The signal recognition particle (SRP) is a universally conserved ribonucleoprotein. Lineage: Eukaryota; Metazoa; Chordata; Mammalia; Primates; Cercopithecidae. The record is from Ensembl.